UCCGCAUUAGUAUAUCGGCUAGUAUAUCUGCCUCUCAUAAUUUGGGCGGCGCGGAAGAGAAGGGUUCGAUUCCCUUAUGCGGAA
This 84-nucleotide transfer RNA is filed under the name Naematelia encephala. Its description in RNAcentral is "tRNA-Glu". It matches the Rfam family "tRNA". From Rfam's summary of the family: Transfer RNA (tRNA) molecules are approximately 80 nucleotides in length. Their secondary structure includes four short double-helical elements and three loops (D, anti-codon, and T loops). Further hydrogen bonds mediate the characteristic L-shaped molecular structure. tRNAs have two regions of fundamental functional importance: the anti-codon, which is responsible for specific mRNA codon recognition, and the 3' end, to which the tRNAs corresponding amino acid is attached (by aminoacyl-tRNA synthetases). tRNAs cope with the degeneracy of the genetic code in two manners: having more than one tRNA (with a specific anti-codon) for a particular amino acid; and 'wobble' base-pairing, i.e. permitting non-standard base-pairing at the 3rd anti-codon position. Lineage: Eukaryota; Fungi; Basidiomycota; Tremellomycetes; Tremellales; Naemateliaceae. The record is from RNAcentral.